AUCUCUCAAGCUCAUCAUUGACAUACAGACUCGAGAUAUCACAAAGGUGUCGCACAACAUGAUAAGGGAUAAGGUGAGGGCACUAGAGUGAGUCGGCCACCCUCGUGGUUUGGCCGAAUCACCACUGGUCCACCUUGAUCACCAUCUUCUUCAAGAGCCAUGGUAUGUGCGCUCUACCUCUCUACUCCCUAGUUCAUGAGUUUAAAUGAAUCUCAUCUCUGAUCAUUAAGAAUUAAACUCAAAAUUAAAAUGAACCUUGGGUGAAAACAUGAUCCUUAUGGUUGGCAUCCAUGUUCUAUAUUCCUUUCUUGCACCUAUUUGCUUGUGAACCCAUAUCUUUAGGAAAACAUGCUACCUAGGUUUUUGAUGUUUGAGAUAUGGCAUGAUAAAAUGAACCUUGCUCUGUUUUGUCUAAAGUACUUGGGAAAUUUAUCUUGAAAAACAAUGACCUAGCUAGCUCCUCAAUGAUAUGCCUCCAUCCUACUGAAGCCAUAUGUUGAUCUUAUUUGAAAACCUACACACAUAUGUUGCUUGCUAUCAUGUUGAGCUUUACCAAAUUAUUGUGACCCUUGUGGAAUAUUUUUCAUACUUUCAUGAUCAAGAUCACGUACACCCUGCUUCCACAUACUAGACUUCUACACUGGAAGCUAGUAACAUCUCAUCCAUCCAUCCAGCCAAAUAAAACUCCACAUGUGUUGUGACCUCUCUCU
RNAcentral lists this long non-coding RNA (710 nucleotides) under Setaria viridis. Its description in RNAcentral is "long non-coding RNA (SVIR_LNC000575)". The record is from RNAcentral. Lineage: Eukaryota; Viridiplantae; Streptophyta; Magnoliopsida; Poales; Poaceae.